Molecule: transfer RNA, 85 nt
Filed under: Felis catus (domestic cat)
Lineage: Eukaryota; Metazoa; Chordata; Mammalia; Carnivora; Felidae
Rfam family: tRNA
About the family: Transfer RNA (tRNA) molecules are approximately 80 nucleotides in length. Their secondary structure includes four short double-helical elements and three loops (D, anti-codon, and T loops).
Source: Rfam by way of RNAcentral
GCCUGAGUGGCUCAGUCGGUUGAGUGCCCGACUGCAGCUCAGGUCAUGACCUCACAGUUCGUGGGUUCGAACCCCGUAUCAGGCU